UUAAUAUUUAUUUAUUUAUUUUUUAGGUGUAGAUGGACACAACACAAUGCCUUUAUUUUUAUGUGGUGCUGAGGAUCCAACCCGGGUCCCACCCGUGCAAGGGGAGCGUUCUACCGCUGAGCCACAAUCCCAGCCCAGCCCCCAAUGAUUCUUGCGUCUUGUAAUUCAUGCCCAAUGACUGUGUAACUACUGGAGUAGUUACACAGUAGUAAACUACUGUGUUUAUCACACACACAUGGUGUGUGAUUUUGAGGCUAGGUGAUAAAAAAAAAAAAAUUGUGGCUUCCGUUUUCCUCUCUUGGAUCAUUCUGGGGAAGUCAACUCCCAUGUCAUGAGGAUACUCAAGCAGCCUUGUGGAAGUCCAUGCGUUACGAAACUGAGGCCUCCUCCCCCUAAAAGAGCAGUAACUUGCCUGGUAUCUGAAAGAGCCACAUUGGAAGUAGAUCUUGAAGACUUUGUCCAGCCUGCAGAGACUACAGGCCCAGCCAACUUCUUGUCUGCCCCUAAGCCAGAUCCACCUGCUUAAGCUGCUCCUAGAGUCCUGACCACAGGAACUAUAUGGGAUAAUAAAUGUUUAUUAUUUUAAGCUACUGUGUUUGGGAGAAAUAUGCAACAAUAGAUAAUAUAAUCUUUGUCGAUUCUGCCCCUUUUUUUUUUCAGACCACUAUUACUAUAUUUCACUAGAUUUUUGUCUACUUAAGGGCAGACAGGGUCGUGUUUAAUUCAUUUUUGUAAGCCUUACAGAGGUGAUUGUUGUGCUUUAUCAAUACUUCUUAAAUUGAAUGUGAUUGGCUUCUAUCAAGGCUAAACCUGGGUUGCUCCUAUUGCUUCUGUUUGGAAAGGUGAAAAUUACUUCUGUUUUAUUUAGAAAUAAAGGCAAUAUUUUAAAAGAGCUUUCUUUAAAAGAAUCUAGAAUAUUUGAAAUAUGUGGUACAAAAAUAGUUAAUCAUAUGAGACAAAAUUUUAACAAAGAUCUAAACAAAUGGGAAAGAUAAUAGAACAAAAAAAAAAGGAAGGAGCUGGUAAUCUUUGAAAAACUGACUGCUUGCUUUUGUUCCUUAUUUUAAAAUAAGUUCAAACACAGAUAAGUUAAAAAAAAUACAACACCUAUAUACAUUUUACCUAGAUUCUCCUGUCAUUAAAAUUUUGUCUCAUUUGCUUUAUUACUUAUGCUCAUGACGACUCUUGCUCACUCUCUGAAUAUGUGUCUCUAGAUACAGAUGUACCUGAAUAUAUGUACUCAUAUGUAAUAUGUUAAAGUCAUUUAUGCAUAUCUUCAGUACAUCAUAUGUAAUUCCUAAGAAUUACAUAAACAACUUGAAGUUUAAUAGUGAUCCUUUGUUAUUUGUAAUCCAGUUUCGUCAGUUGAUCCAAUAAUGUCCCUUGUGGCAUUUCCCUCCUUCCUAGCCCAGGAUCCAGUCUAAUAUCAUGCAAUUAUGUGUGUAUCUUUGGAUUCUUUCAACCUAUAACAUGUCCAUAGCUUUUCUGUGUCUUUUUUGGCAUUGUUAUGGGAAGAAAAAGACACCAUGCCUUCCCCUUUUUAGCAGAAUGUUCCACAUAUUGCUGAUAUUUCCUUCUGAUUAGAUUCAGAUUAUACAAUCUACAAAAUUCCCUUUUAAAUUGUCUAAAAUGUGAGAAUAGUAUUCUGUCCAAAAGAUCAAUUCAAAACAAAAUUUAGGUAAAAAAAAAAGUAUAUGAGUUAUUAGAAAUCAAAAUGGAAAAUCAAAACAUGCCAUAGAAUAAUUUCUGUAGGAAAUAUUUAAGAUCAUUUUCAGUCUUUCAAGUUACUGUAUAUGGUUGGUUUAAUAACUAGAUUUAAAAAAAAAUCAAGAGUUGAGCAUGGUGGUUCAUACCCACAGUACCAUUGACUUGGGAGGUUGAAGUUGUAUAAUUGCCAAGUUUGAGGCCAGCCUCAGCAACCUAGAAAGACUCUGUCUGAAAAUAAAAAAAUUAAAGAGGUGAAUAUAUGGCUCAGUGGUAAAGCACCCUUGGUUUUAAUCCCC
Molecule: long non-coding RNA, 2003 nt
Filed under: Marmota monax (woodchuck)
Lineage: Eukaryota; Metazoa; Chordata; Mammalia; Rodentia; Sciuridae
Source: RNAcentral